This 28-nucleotide non-coding RNA is filed under the name Rattus norvegicus (Norway rat). The record is from RNAcentral. Lineage: Eukaryota; Metazoa; Chordata; Mammalia; Rodentia; Muridae.
UGAGAUAAAUGGUCAGUGGACAGUGCCA